Molecule: ribosomal RNA, 253 nt
Filed under: uncultured bacterium
Lineage: Bacteria
Description: partial 16S ribosomal RNA
Rfam family: Bacterial small subunit ribosomal RNA
Source: RNAcentral
UACGUAGGUGGCAAGCGUUGUCCGGAUUUACUGGGCGUAAAGAGCGCGCAGGCGGUCGAUUUAGUCGCGUGUGAAAGCCCCCGGCUCAACUGGGGAGGGUCACGCGAUACUGAUCGACUCGAAGGCAGGAGAGGGUAGUGGAAUUCCCGGUGUAGUGGUGAAAUGCGUAGAUAUCGGGAGGAACACCAGUGGCGAAGGCGACUACCUGGCCUGUUCUUGACGCUGAGGCGCGAAAGCUAGGGGAGCGAACAGG